This is a long non-coding RNA of Monomorium pharaonis (pharaoh ant), 1524 nucleotides long. RefSeq lists it as uncharacterized. The record is from RefSeq and is a predicted model, not a curated record. The transcript is spliced from 6 exons. NCBI's taxonomy places the organism in Eukaryota, Metazoa, Arthropoda, Insecta, Hymenoptera, Formicidae.
UCAAUUUCUUCAGAGAAAAAGAGAAAAACUGCAUGUGCGACACUAAAAUGGGAGAAUUACUAAGGCAGAGAAACGAAAAGAUGUUGAAUAAUCAUUAUCCAUGUGGAUGCAAGAAGCCAAUGCGAUUGAUGCAAAAUAAAAUUACAAUACCGAUGAUUUCAAAUAAUUUCAAGUAUAAGAAGUCUUAUUCGAAAAGUCGUUGUUGCAUCAGAAGAAAUUCUUGCUAAAAAAAAACAAAUGAUAACUGUCCUUUGCUUGAAAUAUAUUGAGAGGAUACUGAACUGCUUUUUAAACUUGCUCAGGAUCGAUAAUGACCGGAAGCCUAAUUAGGCGCAGGAACGACGUCUUUUUCGUAGUUCAACUCACUGUUAAGGAUAAAAACUAAACUAAAAAAAUUGUCCAAAAAAGGACUAAUCCUGUAAAGAUUAAGCGAGUGACAAUGAAUUUGGCUGCAAUUAUUUACUUGUAUAUUCAAUAUAAUUUAGCAGAUAAUUAUAUACAUACUUAUAUAUGUAUACUUCGAGUUAUACAAAAUUAAACGAUGAUAUAGGAUGUUGUCAAUAUGGCCAUCUAAUUGAUAGAAGUAAACACCUCUGAUUAGUUUAUUUUCUCAUACUGUUAGAGACCGUCAAUCCUGGACAAAUUUUUGUCAAAUUUGUUACCAAAAAUAUUCCGCGGGCACGAUGGUAAUUGAAAAGCGGUGAGAUUAUCAACUAUGAAUAGAAAUUUGUGACUGUUAAAAUAAAUAUUUAUAUAAUUCAAUAUUUUAGACAAUAUAUGAAUAAUUGUAAGACUAAUAUAGUAUCAUAAAUAUUGCUUCAAAUCUUUUCCAAUUUUUUCUGUACAAUUAUCAACUCUGUCUGUUUUAAAUGUACAUACAUGUCUAUGAAACUUCAGGCUAAUAAAAUUGGUACUAUAUUAUCAAUGUCUUAUUUUUAAUCACUUAAAUUUUAAUAUUAAAGAUGCAAACUCCCAUAAGGAUGUCGGUCUUUAAUAUUUCGUCCGUGGCUAUGCAACUUAUGUCAUUUUAUGUGUGAUGCAAUGAAUAAAGAAUGUCAGGAAAGAGUACAUGGCAAAACGAAUUAAUCUGAAAUAGUUUAGUUUGAUGACGUAUUUCCCUGGCGGAUUAAUUUGACUAAAUAUAAACAGAAAUUAGACUUAUAUUGAACUUAUUUUAGAUGCGUUUUGUUAGAACAUCUCUAUUAGUCUUAUUUUUAAAUCUUCUUUAGUCAAAUAUCCGUCUACAUUGCUUAAGUAUUGUCUACACUGUCGAAAAACGCUGUUUAGUCAGCUUGAGACUUGUGUAAUUUAUUCCAGGAUAGCAAACCUAGUAAAAAGGAAUUGAAAAAAUUUGGACUAUUUCGGUAUCUAAUGUCGCUUACUUUUUACAUUAAUCUUAUAUUAUGUGAUUACCUAAGCCAUAGUUACGUUUAUUAUAACAUUGUUUAACUCCUGCAAUCGGAAAAGCGGUAAUCUAUACUUUUGUCACUCACCGGCAAUGUUGCUUAACUUCGAAGAUCGUAU